This 87-nucleotide transfer RNA is filed under the name Gemmataceae bacterium. It matches the Rfam family "tRNA". Rfam says of the family: Transfer RNA (tRNA) molecules are approximately 80 nucleotides in length. The record is from Rfam by way of RNAcentral. Lineage: Bacteria; Pseudomonadati; Planctomycetota; Planctomycetia; Gemmatales; Gemmataceae.
GGAAGGGUGGCAGAGUGGUCGAUUGCACCGGUCUUGAAAACCGGCAACGUCGCAAGACGUUCCAGGGUUCGAAUCCCUGCCCUUCCG